UACGUAGGGGGCGAGCGUUGUCCGGAGUUACUGGGCGUAAAGCGCACGCAGGCGGUGCUGCGCGUUUGGGGUUACAGCUCCCGGCUCAACCGGGGGAGCGCCUCGAAGACGGCAGCACUUGAGGGCCAGAGAGGGACACGGAACUCCGGGUGGAGUGGUGAAAUGCGUAGAUAUCCGGAAGAACACCAAAGGCGAAGGCAGUGUCCUGGCUGGUACCUGACGCUCAGGUGCGAAAGCUAGGGGAGCGAACGGG
RNAcentral lists this ribosomal RNA (253 nucleotides) under uncultured bacterium. RNAcentral's name for it is "partial 16S ribosomal RNA". It matches the Rfam family "Bacterial small subunit ribosomal RNA", at positions 524 to 776 of the family's 1533-position model. The record is from RNAcentral.